UCGUACGCCAGACUUUGUAUCCCUACGUGUUGGACAUGAUUCAUGUUCCAAUCGGUGAAAAAAAUUACGAUUUCUAGUUUAAUCGUCUUCUACAAUCGACUCUUUAACAUCCGAUGAUCCGAUUGCAUCAUUGAGGGCAUAAGUUGCUGUUCGGACUAUGUAUUUCUGAAAGGGGAAAGAAUGGGUUGCUGGUUUCAGUUGUUUGGACUAUGGAUUUCUGAGAGGAGGAAGAUGGGUUGUUGGUUUCAAGAGAUUUAGGGCACUCUUAAAUAAGGGAGAAGGACGGCGAGAGAAGGACUGAAGGGAGAAGAAUCGAUUGACUCACUCAUCCACUUCUCAUUCACACAUAGAGAGAGACAGAGGAGGGGAGAGAACUGGUGCUGCGUGAGUGCUCUCCUCCAGUUUACGAUUCUGAAGUUUCUUCUCUUGGAACUCUUUGUUGUUCCUGUCACUUCUUCUGGUGCUGCUUCGGCUCCUGCUCCAUCGCCAUGGGAGAAAGAUAAAGGAGGGGAGAGAACUCAGACCAGACACAGUGACUGUGCGUGUCACUAUCAUUUAGGGUUCGUGGGUCUGCUCGAGUGCUCUGUUGGGAUCAACAAACCUUAUAUCGUUCAUCUUCUUCGGGUUGGUUGUUCAUCUGAGAGAAUCAAACGAAUCUCAUUCCCAUGUUUGUUCGUGGGUCUACUUGAGUGCUCUGUUGGGAUCAACAAACCUUACCAUCGGUCAUCUUCUUCGCAUAACUUGAGCAAGGAGAAACUGAACAGCUUCAUGAUGAUAAGAAUGAAGGCUACUGAGUUUCAUAAGGUGUCUCAUUGACUACUUCCAGAUGUAUGAUACAUUUAACCAAUUAUGAAUGCUGUGGUGCUACUGAUUCUAUAUUUGAAGACCCUACAUUGUCAGGACUCUAUUUUUCCACAUUAAACCCCCUCUCUUGGCGUCCAUCAGAGGUUCCUCUCUGAAGCCAGUGGACCAAUUUAUUGUGAACGGUAGCCGCAGAAAUUUGACUCUAAUUCCCAUUCAUCAGAGGAAGGGAAAAAUUUCAGCUCAUAGAAGGCCACUUAUAGUUCAGUCUUUGUGGUCUUCAGGCAAAAUCUCCAUGAAUUGUUCACUUCUCAUAUGACAGAGGCCUUACAACAUUCAUAAGAGGCUUUUUUUCAUAAAGAGACAAUGACCAGCUUCCUUGUGAAGAAACCGCGGAAUGUUGACACCUAUGAAAGCAUGUCGUUUAAAGGAUUGUAGCCAAUUAGAGAAGGUGCAGGUUAUUUGCUGGUUGGAUUGUUAGUGAUUCUGUUGAGGAUUAUGUGCCGCAUUUUCUGUGGCAAAAAAUAUUUCUCUGUUCUAAGAAGUUAUAGCAUUCAUUUUGAGGAAGGCUUCUAGACACAAUGGAUUUGCUAAAUAUUGAGAACAACUUCCUGUUGAUUUAGCUUUAGUUUUUCCCUCCAGCCGAACCAAACUUGGUCAGCAAGGCUUAUGGUCAUGAUUGUAAUGCUUAGAAGGAAUUUGGAGUGUAUCAUUGUUAUCAUGAGUGCAAGAAGUAGAUGAAUGCCAAAGAUGAAACUUUU
Molecule: long non-coding RNA, 1562 nt
Organism: Macadamia integrifolia
Lineage: Eukaryota; Viridiplantae; Streptophyta; Magnoliopsida; Proteales; Proteaceae
Exons: 7
Source: RefSeq, a predicted model, not a curated record